CAAACCAUACAGAGAAGAUCAGCAUAGUCCCUGUGCAAAGACGACAUGCAAAUUCAUGAAGUAUUCCAUAUUUCU
Small nuclear RNA from Panthera pardus (leopard), 75 nucleotides. The record is from Ensembl. Lineage: Eukaryota; Metazoa; Chordata; Mammalia; Carnivora; Felidae.